Xenia sp. Carnegie-2017 is the source of this 1308-nucleotide long non-coding RNA. RefSeq lists it as uncharacterized. Lineage: Eukaryota; Metazoa; Cnidaria; Anthozoa; Malacalcyonacea; Xeniidae. The record is from RefSeq and is a predicted model, not a curated record. The transcript is spliced from 3 exons.
UGUCGCAAAGUUUUAUCAUUUCGUUUAGCUUGGAUUUUUUGUGCUAUUCACUUCUAGAUUGCUUCAAGAACUCUUUCGAUGGUUUGCAAGUUUAUGAAAACGUCCAAAGUCCGGAUGUAACAAGGUUUUCUUCAGCCAGCCAACGAAUCUCUCAAAACAUCUUGACCGUUGAUCUUCGUAGGCAGUCGCUGGCAGAACAAUGUGAGACAAUUCAACUAGAUCAUGGUGAUGGUGUAAAAGGGCAUGAUAGAAAUGACUUUGCACAAAAUCAACGAAUCAUUUCUGUAAAUGAAGAAGCAAAUGACAAUGUUAUUGAUAUUCGUGAUUCUAAUGCUUCCAAACAGGCAGCUGGUAUUGAUGUUUGGACUGGUCAACUUUCUAAAGGAGAUUCGUGCUUCACAAAAGAAAACUAAAUGCAGAGUAACAAACAUGUCUCGUAUUAAUUCAACAGAAGAAAACAAAGAUGACUCUUACUUCUCCAAGUUCCAAGAAAAACAUAUUGAACAUGAUAGUUAUUCAAACUUAGAUCGACAAAAUACCAACUACUCAGAAAUGUUACAAAAAAGUGCACAAUGCAACCGUCAAAUUCAAGAAACACCAUUUAUUCAAGGAAAAAAAAUACCAAACGUAAAUCAGACGAGGACAGUGUCCACGUGAGAGAUAUUUGGAAAGCUUUGGUAGACGGUGGCUAUGACGUUUCUAGAAAAGAAAUCUCAAAAUACAAAGUUGAGUUGACAGAUUCAAGACAAAAAUCUGCACCCUCGAAACGAAACAGUUUUAUAAAUCAUCAAAAGACAAAUCCUGUUCUUCGAAAUAAGUCUGCAAAUUACAACAAGGAGAGCAUUGAAAUUCCUGUGAAUAAAUCAAUGGGUUGCUUUUUGCCAAAUGAUAAAAAACUUCAAUGUUUUGUCCCCAAACUAGAUGACAAAAAAGAGGUACAUAUAGCUAAAAUGUGACAUUGAUAUUUUUUAGUUUAUGAGUUUAUAUCAGCUCAACAAAAAAGUUGAUACUUAGAUUGGAGAGUGAAAUGACCAUCUGCUUCACUUCUUGUAGUUAGAACAAAACAAAGGAAAUUUUAAAAACGGUGAGACCAAUCAGCUUGAAAUUAUUGCAGUAAGGAAACCCAUGAAUAAGCUAUCAAGAAAUGAAAAAGUCUCCGAUUUCUCUCGAUGGAAGUUUGAAGUCAACACGAGCCCGAAAUUGGGUCAUUUUUUGUACUUUGCAUAUUGUUUGAAUAUAAAUCAAAACAGGUAUAUUGAUUUGUAGCUACUGUCAUCUGUACUUAAUAGAAAAUAUCUUUUGCUUUCA